AAUCAACGCUGGCGGCAUGCCUAACACAUGCAAGUCGAGCGAGAAAGGGUAGCAAUACCUGAGUAAAGCGGCGCACGGGUGAGUAACACGUGGAUAACCUGCCUCAAAGUGGGGAAUAACACCGGGAAACCGGUGCUAAUACCGCAUAUUCUGACGAAGUCUGCGGAUUUUGUCAGGAAAGGAGCAAUUCGCUAUGAGAGGGGUCCGCGGCUGAUUAGCUAGUUGGUGAGGUAAUGGCUCACCAAGGCUUCGAUCAGUAGCCGGUCUGAGAGGACGGUCGGCCACACUGGAACUGAGACACGGUCCAGACUCCUACGGGAGGCAGCAGUGGGGAAUUUUUCGCAAUGGGGGCAACCCUGACGAAGCAAUGCCGCGUGGAUGAUGAAGUAUCUCGGUACGUAAAAUCCUUUCGACGGGGACGAAACCGCAAGGUUGACGGUACCCGUAGAAGAAGCCCC
Molecule: ribosomal RNA, 458 nt
Filed under: uncultured bacterium
Lineage: Bacteria
Description: bacterial SSU rRNA
Rfam family: Bacterial small subunit ribosomal RNA
Source: RNAcentral